AUUGAACGCUGGCGGCAUGCUUUACACAUGCAAGUCGAACGGUAACAGGCCGCCAUGUGCUGCCGCGUGGCGAACGGGUGGGUAAUGCAUCGGAACGUGCCCGGUCGUGGGCUAUCACGACUCGAAGGAGUAGCUAAUACCGCAUACGAUCUAUGGGUGAAAUCGUGGGUCCGUAAGGCCUCGCGCGAUUGGAGCGGCCUAUCUCAGAUUCGGUAGUUGGUGGGGUAAUGGCUCACCAAGCCAACGAUCUGUACCUGGUCUGAGAGGACGACCAGCCACACUGGGACUGAGACACGGCCCAGACUCCUACGGGAGGCAGCAGUGGGGAAUUUUGGACAAUGGGCGCAAGCCUGAUCCAGCAAUGCCGCGUGCAGGAAGAAGGCCUUCGGGUUGUAAACUGCUUUUGUACGGAACGAAACGGCUCUGGUUAAUACCCGGAGAUAAUGACGGUACCGUAAGAAUAAGCACCGGCUAACUACGUG
RNAcentral lists this ribosomal RNA (482 nucleotides) under uncultured bacterium. Its description in RNAcentral is "partial 16S ribosomal RNA". It matches the Rfam family "Bacterial small subunit ribosomal RNA", at positions 30 to 507 of the family's 1533-position model. The record is from RNAcentral.